Molecule: long non-coding RNA, 507 nt
Organism: Oncorhynchus keta (chum salmon)
Lineage: Eukaryota; Metazoa; Chordata; Actinopteri; Salmoniformes; Salmonidae
Exons: 3
Source: RefSeq, a predicted model, not a curated record
UUGGAUGCUUCAUUGAUUGUAGGUCUGCUGUUGGACGUGUCAUUGAUUGUAGGUCUGCUGUUGGAUGCUUCAUUGAUUGUAGGUCUGCUGUUGGACGCUUCAUUGAUUGUAGGUCUGCUGUUGGAUGCUUCAUUGAUUGUAGGUCUGCUGUUGGACGCUUCAUUGAUUGUAGGUCUGCUGUUGGACGCUUCAUUGAUUGUAGGUCUGCUGUUGGACGCUUCAUUGAUUGUAGGUCUGCUGUUGGACGUGUCAUUGAUUGUAGGUCUGCUGUUGGACGCUUUAUUGAUUGUAGGUCUGCUGUUGGACGCUUCAUUACAUUUGCUGUUAUGUUAGAAUUUAGCCCUGGUUUGGAUGAUGUAUAUCAAUUCAUGCAUUUCCAUAACUGUUACUGCUGUUGAUAUGCAGACCGACACAUUGACUGGUCACUCUGGUAGUUGCCGAUGGUAAGAUUUGCCCACUAAAGACAAAUAGAAGCCUCUGUCUGUGCGGACCCGGGGAGUGCGAUGG